RNAcentral lists this transfer RNA (77 nucleotides) under Verrucomicrobiota bacterium. RNAcentral's name for it is "Verrucomicrobia bacterium (groundwater metagenome) tRNA-Val". It matches the Rfam family "tRNA". From Rfam's summary of the family: Transfer RNA (tRNA) molecules are approximately 80 nucleotides in length. Their secondary structure includes four short double-helical elements and three loops (D, anti-codon, and T loops). The record is from RNAcentral. RNAcentral also lists the same sequence under 1 other name. Lineage: Bacteria; Pseudomonadati; Verrucomicrobiota.
GGGCGCGUAGCUCAGUUGGUUAGAGCACUACCUUGACAUGGUAGGGGUCACAGGUUCGAAUCCUGUCGCGCCCACCA